RNAcentral lists this ribosomal RNA (252 nucleotides) under uncultured bacterium. RNAcentral's name for it is "partial 16S ribosomal RNA". It matches the Rfam family "Bacterial small subunit ribosomal RNA", at positions 793 to 1050 of the family's 1533-position model. The record is from RNAcentral.
GUCCACGCCGUAAACGAUGGUUACUAGCUGUUCGGACUUCGGUUUGAGUGGCUAAGCGAAAGUGAUAAGUAACCCACCUGGGGAGUACGUUCGCAAGAAUGAAACUCAAAGGAAUUGACGGGGGCCCGCACAAGCGGUGGAGCAUGUGGUUUAAUUCGAUGAUACGCGAGGAACCUUACCAGGGCUUAAAUGCAGUACGACAGGUCUAGAGAUAGACUUUUCUUCGGACGGAUUGCAAGGUGCUGCAUGGUU